RNAcentral lists this ribosomal RNA (2558 nucleotides) under Triticum aestivum (bread wheat). RNAcentral's name for it is "partial small subunit ribosomal RNA". The record is from RNAcentral. Lineage: Eukaryota; Viridiplantae; Streptophyta; Magnoliopsida; Poales; Poaceae.
CCCUCACCUCCCCUCCCCUCCGUUGCCCCCGCUUCUCCAACCAGCAGAUUCCUCCCCCGCCACCCAGGCCAGCUCCCCCGCCGCCGGCGCCCCCCUCCGCCGUGGAGCUCGACAUGGACGACGCCUGCGCCGUCUGCGCGGAGCCGCUCGAAUGGGUGGCCUACGGCGCCUGCGGCCACCGCGAGGUCUGCUCCGCCUGCGUCACCCGCCUCCGCUUCGUCCUCCGCGACCAGCGCUGCUGCCUCUGCAUGACCCACUGCCCCGCCGUCUUCGCCACCAAGGAAAUGGGGGACCGCACCAAGGCGAUCGGCGAUCUCUCGGCGCUGCCGGCCGCGGCCGGCGAGGGCAAGACCGGGGAGUACUGGUACCACGAGGCCACGCAGGUGUGGUUCGACGACGCUGACCAUUACAGGAUGGUAAGGGCGAUGUGCCGGAUCUCCUGCACCGUCUGCGAAAGCAGCGGCAACAAGGGGAAGAAGGGCAGUAAGUCGUCCAAGGCGAAACACAAGAUCAAGUUCGACAGCAUUGAGCAGCUCAAAGCCCAUCUGUCCAACAAGCAUUGCUUGUACAUGUGCGACCUCUGCUUGGAUGGGAGGAAGGUAUUUAUUUGCGAGCAGAAACUUUAUACAAGGCCUCAAUUAAACCAGCACAUAAAAACCGGUGAUUCAGAGGUGGAUGGCUCGGAAGUUGAGCGCCGGGGUUUUGCAGGGCACCCGAUGUGCAAGUUUUGUAAAAGCCCAUUUUAUGGAGAGACUGAGCUAGAUACACAUAUGACAAGAGAACAUUAUUCUUGUCACAUAUGUCAGAGGCAGCACGGUGGGCAGGAUGAUUAUUUCAGGAACUAUGAUGACUUAGAGAUGCAUUUCCGAAGAGACCAUUUCUUCUGCGAGGACAGAGAGUGCUUGGAGAAGAAGUUCAUUGUCUUCCAAAGUGAAGCAGAGCUUAAGAGGCACAAUGCUGUGGAGCAUAGGAAGCGCAUGCCUCAUGCACAGAAGAAUUCUGCUCUCCAGACACCAACCAGUUCUCGAGACCGGAGUGAGCUAGAGCAGAGUAAUGGCAGAGGUAGAAGGCAUAACGCUUGCCUCUCCAAUGGUUCUGUUGACAAUACCUUGCUGUCUGUUCAGAAUAGCAUUGCAAAUAUGGGUCGUGGCUCGGGAAAUCAAGUUGCUGCAGUUGUGUCUCCCUUGCGAUCUAGUUCUGGGCACUCAUCACAAGCAGGCCAAAGCUCUGGGAUGAAUCGUGUUUGGCAGCAACCACAACCCCUCUCCCGCCAGGAGGUUCCUGAUGCAAGAAUAGGUUCCUGUUUUCAAGAAGCUUCAUCCCCUCCCAUAUCAGGGCAAUCAGGGUAUACACCAGUUGUCAGUCGGAGCUCACGGACUGCUGCACGCGCAAUGGAUUUGGAAUUCCCUCCUUUAUCAGGCAGUAAUAACAGAACUGCCGCUUCAACAGAGCAGGGGGUACGAAAGGUAGCUGAGAACACUCAUGCAUUUGGGCUCCGACAACAAAGCAAUGGAAUUGUGAAUACACACCAUUCUGCUCAGCAUUGGUCCCUUCAAAAUACUGAUUUGAUCCCUUCUGGUUCAAGUCACUCCCCAAGUUGGCCUACACCCAACACAAGUCCUCACGUUAGUGGAUCGCUGAGUCUGACUUCUGCAGGAAAUGGAAGGCAAGAAACACCUGUGAGCCGCCAGGUGUUGUGCUCUGUGGAUGAUGUUCGUGCAGCGAAUAAUUCAUUGGUUGAAAGAAUGCAGGCCGCAUUAGGAAUGGACCGGGACAGGUACUCGAUGUUCAAAGAGAUCUCCGGGGAGUAUCGUCAAGGAGUUAUCAAUGCUUCAAAGUAUCUUUCAUACGUCGAACAAUUUGGUCUGUCGCACCUCGUUCUUGAAAUGUCAAGGUUACUGCCGGAUCCUCAAAAGCAGAAGGAGCUUGCUGAUGCCUACUAUGCGAAUUUGCGCCUUACAAGCCUCCAAGGAAAUGGUGGCGGUGGAGCUGUUUGCUCGAAAGACUGCACCCGGAAAAAUAAGGGGAAGGGGAAACUUCCUGCUGCUGCACAGGAUUCGUUAGAGGGUAAGCUCCUGAGUGCUGCCAGCAAGCUUCAGUCGCAGGUGGGAGGCUCUAGAGCGCUGUUGAGAGAAGGGUGUGGAGCAGCCGAUGGACCUUUGCAGGAGCCGAGGUGGCCUGUGAAGGGUGCUUGGCAAAACCGUGGGGGGCAGAGACUCGUGAGCAAGGCGAAGAAGUAAACUGCGGUUUACAGGAUGAGUUGCCACCUGAGCUGCUGUGAAAACGUCCGUUUUCCCCUGCUUUGUGUCUGGCUUGUUGAGGCGACUGAAAAGGCCGUGGAGUGAUUAUUUGGUUCGCUUCUGUUUCUCUGUGUCUGAACUUUAUGUUGAGUUUGCGUAAUUGUGUCGUGAAUGUUGUGAAGAAGGAAUAGUUAUGAACUAUGUGGAUGGUAACUAUCAAAGCUAUUGUAUUUCGGGAUGUCUCUGUCAGGAUUAGUAUUUCGAAGUUUGUAUGGAAAUACAUAUCAAAUCCAUCUAGAACUAUACUUUUUUACAUAU